RNAcentral lists this ribosomal RNA (305 nucleotides) under uncultured bacterium. RNAcentral describes it as "bacterial SSU rRNA". It matches the Rfam family "Bacterial small subunit ribosomal RNA", at positions 335 to 657 of the family's 1533-position model. The record is from RNAcentral.
UUCUUCUUGGGUUCUUCUUUGUGUAAUAUUGCACAAUGGGGGAAACCCUGAUGCAGCAACGCCGCGUGAGUGAAGAAGGUUUUCGGAUUGUAAAGCUCUGUUAGCAGGGAAGAGGAAGGACGGUACCUGCAGAGGAAGCCACGGCUAACUACGUGCCAGCAGCCGCGGUAAUACGUAGGUGGCAAGCGUUGUUCGGAAUAACUGGGCGUAAAGGAUGCGUAGGCGGUUAAACAAGUUAUAUGUUAAAUAUAUAGGCUUAACCUGUAGAAAGCAUAUAAAACUGUUUAACUAGAGUGCAGGAGAGG